GUACACACCGCCCGUCACACCAUGGGAGUGGGUUGCAAAAGAAGUGGGUAGCCUAACCUUCGGGGGGGCGCUCACCACUUUGUGAUUCAUGACUGGGGUGAAGUCGUAACAAGGUAGCCGUAGGUGAACCUGCAGAAGGAUCA
This 143-nucleotide ribosomal RNA is filed under the name uncultured eukaryote. Its description in RNAcentral is "partial small subunit ribosomal RNA". It matches the Rfam family "Bacterial small subunit ribosomal RNA", at positions 1383 to 1525 of the family's 1533-position model. The record is from RNAcentral.